Etheostoma spectabile (orangethroat darter) is the source of this 117-nucleotide long non-coding RNA. RefSeq lists it as uncharacterized. The record is from RefSeq and is a predicted model, not a curated record. The transcript is spliced from 5 exons. Lineage: Eukaryota; Metazoa; Chordata; Actinopteri; Perciformes; Percidae.
UUCAGGAGAAGAUAUGUCUUGCUAACUAUGGAGUCUAAUCCCCAAAGACUCUGUAGAGUUCAUAUUAUGCUUAUGUACAAUAAAUCUUUGCGUAUCUGCAACAAAGUCUCUCCUGCU